RNAcentral lists this ribosomal RNA (585 nucleotides) under uncultured Clostridium sp. RNAcentral's name for it is "bacterial SSU rRNA". It matches the Rfam family "Bacterial small subunit ribosomal RNA", at positions 126 to 720 of the family's 1533-position model. The record is from RNAcentral. Lineage: Bacteria; Bacillati; Bacillota; Clostridia; Eubacteriales; Clostridiaceae.
CUGCCUCAAAGAGGGGAAUAGCCUCCCGAAAGGGAGAUUAAUACCGCUUAAUAUGUUUUGGUCGCAUGAUUGAAACAUCAAAGGAUUCUUUUAGAAUCCACUUUGAGAUGGACCCGCGGCGCAUUAGCUAGUUGGUGAGGUAACGGCUCACCAAGGCGACGAUGCGUAGCCGACCUGAGAGGGUGAUCGGCCACAUUGGAACUGAGACACGGUCCAGACUCCUACGGGAGGCAGCAGUGGGGAAUAUUGCGCAAUGGGGGAAACCCUGACGCAGCAACGCCGCGUGAAUGAUGAAGGCCUUCGGGUUGUAAAGUUCUGUCUUCUGGGACGAUAAUGACGGUACCAGAGGAGGAAGCCACGGCUAACUACGUGCCAGCAGCCGCGGUAAUACGUAGGUGGCAAGCGUUGUCCGGAUUUACUGGGCGUAAAGGAUGCGUAGGCGGACAUUUAAGUCAGAUGUGAAAUACCCGAGCUUAACUUGGGUGCUGCAUUUGAAACUGGGUGUCUAGAGUGCAGGAGAGGUAAGUGGAAUUCCUAGUGUAGCGGUGAAAUGCGUAGAGAUUAGGAAGAACACCAGUGGCGAAG